UCGGGGGUGCCCGGUGCGCAGGCCGGGGAUACUUCUCCUGCCAAGAGAGAGACGCGGGUUCGAAUCCCGCCCUCCGGUCCA
This 81-nucleotide transfer RNA is filed under the name Streptomyces sparsogenes DSM 40356. RNAcentral describes it as "tRNA-OTHER". The stretch from base 23 to 78 matches the Rfam family "tRNA". Rfam says of the family: Transfer RNA (tRNA) molecules are approximately 80 nucleotides in length. Their secondary structure includes four short double-helical elements and three loops (D, anti-codon, and T loops). Lineage: Bacteria; Bacillati; Actinomycetota; Actinomycetes; Kitasatosporales; Streptomycetaceae. The record is from RNAcentral.